GGAAUAUUGGACAAUGGGGGGAACCCUGAUCCAGCCAUGCCGCGUGCGUGAAGAAGGCCUUUUGGUUGUAAAGCACUUUAAGCGAGGAGGAGGCUACUGAAGUUAAUACCUUCAGAUAGUGGACGUUACUCGCAGAAUAAGCACCGGCUAACUCUGUGCCAGCAGCCGCGGUAAUACAGAGGGUGCAAGCGUUAAUCGGAUUUACUGGGCGUAAAGCGUGCGUAGGUGGCCAAUUAAGUCAAAUGUGAAAUCCCCGAGCUUAACUUGGGAAUUGCAUUCGAUACUGGUUGGCUAGAGUAUGGGAGAGGAUGGUAGAAUUCCAGGUGUAGCGGUGAAAUGCGUAGAGAUCUGGAGGAAUACCGAUGGCGAAGGCAGCCAUCUGGCCUAAUACUGACACUGAGGUACGAAAGCAUGGGGAGCAAACAGGAUUAGAUACCCUAG
This 441-nucleotide ribosomal RNA is filed under the name uncultured Acinetobacter sp. RNAcentral's name for it is "bacterial SSU rRNA". It matches the Rfam family "Bacterial small subunit ribosomal RNA", at positions 358 to 790 of the family's 1533-position model. The record is from RNAcentral. Lineage: Bacteria; Pseudomonadati; Pseudomonadota; Gammaproteobacteria; Moraxellales; Moraxellaceae.